UGAGGAAUCUUGCGCAAUGGGGGCAACCCUGACGCAGCCACGCCGCGUGGAGGACGACACCCCUAUGGGGCGUAAACUCCUUUUCUGCGGGAAGAACGCCGGCCUCGGGCCGGGAUGACGGUACCGCAGGAAUAAGCACCGGCUAACUCCGUGCCAGCAGCCGCGGUAAUACGGAGGGUGCAAGCGUUGUCCGGAUUUAUUGGGUGUAAAGGGUGUGUAGGCGGGGCCGUAAGUCAGGGGUGAAAGGCCGCAGCUCAACUGCGGGACUGCCUUUGAUACUGCGGUCCUUGAGUGUCGGAGGGGCCACUAGAAUUCGUGGUGUAGCGGUGAAAUGCGUAGAUAUCACGAGGAAUACCAGAGGCGUAGGCGGGUGGCUGGACGACAACUGACGCUGAGGCACGAAAGCGUGGGGAGCGAACAGG
Molecule: ribosomal RNA, 422 nt
Filed under: uncultured bacterium
Lineage: Bacteria
Description: bacterial SSU rRNA
Rfam family: Bacterial small subunit ribosomal RNA
Source: RNAcentral